This 7572-nucleotide long non-coding RNA is filed under the name Lactuca sativa (garden lettuce). RNAcentral describes it as "long non-coding RNA (LSAT_LNC001968)". The record is from RNAcentral. Lineage: Eukaryota; Viridiplantae; Streptophyta; Magnoliopsida; Asterales; Asteraceae.
AAAAGGCCCCAAUCCUAAGUGGCAACCCAAAGCCUAAUAUUGCCCAAUCUUCCAAAUUGGACCCAAAACCCAUCACGGGACUAAAUCCAUGAGAGCCCAAUAUAGUAACAAAACCCAAAAAUAGAAUUCUAAUGGCCCAAAAAGGCCCAAAGUCAAUGGUCCAAACUCCAACAGUUGGUCCUUACGUCGUGACCAGCUCAUGCUCACGUCGUGAGCACUAACUCGACCCAGUCCCAACUCAGUGGGUCAAUUCAGCCCUUCAAGACGAUUCCAAUCCUUGUCACAUAGCAACCUCAACCUAAGUCACACCGUGACCUAAUCCGGACAAAAUAGUUAGGAUAGCUAGUAUUCUCACGACGCGACAGGCUUAAUCAUCACGUUGUGAGAUCUACACUGACCAGCUUUGAGCAUUAAGCUCUUAUUCCUUAUAGCCAUAACCUGGGAAUUUCCAUAGGGUCUUUCCCUUUCCUAAAGGAUGAUAAAAACCAUAGCUUUUUAGUCAUGCAUGUCCAAUACAUGAAUCAAACUCUUACUAGGCCAAGAGUGGGAAAAUGCGAUCAAGACUCAUGCUUGGAGUCUCAAACUAUACCAAAACUCAGAUCUAAAGACUAUAUCAUAGAGAAUAACACAAUGAUCCAUAAAGUUUUCAACUUUAUGGAUCCUUAGGAUGCAAUCCAACACAAACAUGCAAAAAGGAGCUUAGAACUUAGAUCUAGCAUGCAAAAGGUAGACAUGUCCAAGCUUUAAGACUUACAAUGGUCCUAAAGCUCCAACGAUUUGUAAAUAUGUGCUAACCGAUUUAUAUACAAAGUUUUGAUUUGUGAUCAUUUUAUGCAUGAAAUUACUUUGACACAUAUUUUAUUUCCCUUUAUGGACGAGACUUCACUUUUUCUGUUAAAUGUUUAAUGUAUUGCGAGGUUAUUACCAUGAUUUUAAAGAAGAUACAACAUGAAAACACAAUUCUUUUUAGGAGAAGUAGUUCCAUAAACUUUGAACAUGGAUCAUGAUUGGUUUAAAUCUCUCAAGCUUGUAGCAUGAUGUACCGGCUUAAUCAAAUUCAACAAAACAAAGUGAUAUUCAAUAAUAAUCAAAUACAAACAAAAGAUAAAUAAGUUAAUAAGCCUACCCAACUUGUUCAAAUUAAUAUGUCAUAUAGUUAACUACAAACAACGAUAGAUUCAAAAUAAUUUCAAAUUUUCUAAAAACAAAACUCAUGAUUUCAAACAAACUUCUAAUGCAUCAUCUUUAUCAAAAGGCACUUUCACUGUUUCUCAAAUCGAAAUUCAUUAUUUUCAUUAUUCUCUUUUUUUCACCUUUUACGAUCGAAAAUUUUUCAAUCGAGAACUUGAGGUGAGAGAUCUUGUUAUUUUUUGAGUUCUCCUUUCUCCUCCCAGCAAUUUGUCGUUGGUUGUGACUUUUCUACAGGGAGAAGAUGAGUAUCUAUUGUGGAUUGAAGUGGUUUUUGUACAAAUGGGGAAUCACUUCUUACGUUUCCAAGGGAAAUAGUUCAUAACAACUGUUUGGAACACAAAAAGAUAAUUCAAGUUCCGGACUAAAAUACCAGAUAUGGUUGUUCCACAUGAAAAACGCGUUUGGAUUGUAACAGCUCAAGCUACUAGACGGAGUAGUAAACUUAUGCUACCUAGAACAAAUUGUAUGAUCAAUUCUUUCGGUUUUCAUGGGGUUAUUUCUAGUAACAGUUUUUUAUGCAUAAAAAUAGUUAUUUUCAUCGGUCUUAUUCAAUUUCAUAUAGUAUAUGUAUAUGUAUAGUCAUAAUUCACCACAUUUGAAACUAUCUUAGGGUCUUAAAAAGUCGUUACACAACUUUCAUUUUUGUACAUAUAUCUCUAAGUGUCCUCGAGUAUUAUCCCGUAUGGGAUUUUGUGAUUGUCAGGUAUAGGGUUAAAAUAUAAAUAUAGAAAGUUAACCUACACAAACCUCAAGAUAUAUAGACAUUUAGUUGAUUAUUUUUUCAUUCUAAUUUUGUACCUUAUUUCCAAGAAUCAUCAACAAUUUUGAUUGAUGGAUGACGCACAUGCCUAGGAUUGUUUUGCUCAAAGUAAACCCACACUCAAAAUAUUACUCAUAUUAAUAAUAUCAUGCAUAAUGGAUCAAGAUUUCCAUAUCCCACAUUGAAAACAUGACCCAAGAGCAAAAACAUAAAGCACCGAAAGAUUCUUCGCUUUGAACAUCAGUCAAUAAAAACAAUUAUAUGUUGGAUCGGCUGAUGAAUUGUUGGAUUUAGAAUUUCCAUAGGUUGUGGGUAUUACUUACUAGUCUUAGGUAUGUGAUCUUCUCGGGCCAAAAUGACAUGGUCGGAUUGAAUUGUCUCUUUUUACUCCAAUUUAAACAAAUCAUAUUUAAUCCGUUAAACUUUAAAAAUCAAAACCUCGUAAUCUCAACAAAAUUACAUUUAUAAUUAAGUUCAAAGUACAACAUUUAUAAAAAUUACUAAGUCAAGAAAAUAUAAAUAAAAACGAUUAAUUAAAACAAUAAUUUGCUAAAUUAUAUAUGCAAAAUCAUAUGCUUUGAUAAUACAGUUUCACGAUCACAUUUAACAGUAUAGUUAUACAAUACACACAUAGAAAAAGGAGGCCGCGAGAAGGUAUGGAGUCGAGCGCAUUUGCAUUUUUAUUUACAAAGAAAUCUAGUAUUUUUUUAUCGUUAUCUUAUUGACCGAAUGUGAUGUGUUAAAUCAUAAUAUAAUCACCGAUGGUCUGAUAUGUAAUUAUCACAUUGAGCUAACUUCGUUAUAGAGAAAAAUUUGAUCCUAAAUAUUUCAUUGAGGGCCUGGCCCCGUAGGGUUGCUGGAGACAACUCCGAAUGACAUAUACAACUUUACUUGCUAUGUCCCCUAAGCCAUAAAUCGUUAAUGUAUUUAACUUGAUAUGUAAAUUAUAUAAAUUAUUCGAUCGUUUACCAUAUACAUAAAAAUAACGCGCCACAUUGAAAUACUUGAAAUCGUAUAUUAAAUGACAUAACUCAUAUUCUAGCCUAUAAAUCAACUCGGUAGGAUGGAAGUUUACCUAACAAAUAAUAAAAUGGAAAAUCCUAAGAGAUGUCUUGAUCUUGUUUGGGUUCUCCUUAUGAUUUCAAUUAUGACGCCACCCCAACCUUUCUUUUAUUCACAGGCGGAGCCAUUUCCUAAAUACACCGUGCACAUCGUAGAUAUCGGUCUUGAAAACCUCAUGGUUGGCUGUGGACGGGCGUAUCAAUGGCCUUUUUUUAAAACGAUUAACAAUGGUAGCGAGUACCUUAUCGAGUUUAAUAAUGAUGAUGUUUACACUUGUGCUUUCAACUGGAAAAAUAAACAUACGAAAUUCGAAGUUUUUAAUCAAACAAUCAAUAAGCUUUGCAUCGGAGGGGUUAGUAAGGAUUGCUUUUGGCGAGCAACACUCACCGAGUUUGAUUUUUUGGAAGAAACUUGGGAAACGAUGUACACUUGGUAAAAAUUAUUCUUUUGGUAUUUAAUUUUAUAUUAUUUAUUGUAAUGAUAAAAAUAAAAUUAUCUAAGAAGUCCAUAUAUACAUAAUUACAACUACGAUCUUUUUCAUCGCCAUUCUUUUGAAUAUCUCUUUUGUUAAUUAUCGGCUUGUCAAAACAAUGAAAAUGGAAGUUACAAAAUAUUUUCGUUUGUAUGAACCAAAUAACUUGGCAUAUUAGUGAUUGAAUCUCAUUGCUAUUUCAGCGACGAUGUAGUUUUUUUCACUCUUUAGUAUCUUAAUGUUAAACUGAUUACAUUCAACAAAAUGCAUUUUCCGAAAACAAUAUGAAAUGAAUUGGAGGGUCAUAAUAUUUGCAAAUAUGUGCUAACCGGUUUAUAUACAAAGUUUUGAUUUUUGAUCUUUUUAUGCAUGAAAUUACUCUGACACAUAUUUUAGUUCCCUUUAUGGACGAGACUUCACUUUUUCUGUUAAAUAUUUAAUGUAUUGCGAGGUUAUUACCAUGAUUUUAAAGAAGAUACAACAUAAAAACACAAUUCUUUUUAAGAGAAGUAGUUCCAUAAACUUUGAACAUGGAUCAUGAUUGGUUUAAAUCUCUCAAGCUUAUAGCAUGAUGUAACUGAUUCAACAAAAGAAAGUGAUAUUUAAUAAUAAUCAAAUACAAACAAAAGAUAAAUAAUUUAAUAAGCCUACCCGACUUGUUCAANUUCUUUUUAGGAGAAGUAAUUUCAUAAACUUUGAACAUGGAUCAUGAUUGGUUUAAAUCUCUCAAGCUUAUAGCAUGAUGUACCGACUUAAUCAAAUUCAACAAAAGAAAGUGAUAUUUAAUAAUAAUCAAAUACAAACAAAAGAUAAAUAAUUUAAUAAGCCUACCCGACUUGUUCAAAUUAUUAUGUCAUAUAGUUAACUACAAACAACGAUAGUUUCACAAUAAUUUCAAAUUUUCUAAAAACAAAACACAUGAUUUCAAACAAACUUCUAAUGCAUCAUCUUUAUCAAAAGGCACUUUCACAGUUUCUCAAAUCGAAAUUCAUUAUUUUCAUUAUUCUCCUUUUUUCACCUUUUACGAUCGAAAAAUUUUCAAUCGAGAACUUGAGGUGAGAGAUCUUAUUAUUUUUUGAGUUCCGCUUUCUAAAACAUAUGCAAAUACAUAACAUAUGCAAAUACAUAACAUAACAUAUGCAACAGUCACGCAGUAAAUAUGCAAGUACAUAACAUAUGCAAGAGUCACGCAGACAUCUAGCAUCUAAAACAUAACAAACCAUGGGCUGGAAUUGGUGCCUUCGACCCGCUAACACAGUGAGGAAACUCACCUAUAGCUGCUGAAACACUCAAAUGAAUCUCUGUGUGCUGGUCCGGAAAAUUAUCCCGCUAUCAUAUGACAUGUAUGUGUAUUUUUGGGAAAACUUGAGUUCGGUCAAUUGCAUGCAUCACACCCUAGUCUUUUAUUAGAAACCCUUUUUAUAAAACAUUUAUUUUUUAAAAACUCUACCAACCCUCAGUUUGAGUUCAGACACACUCGAGAGUAUGUCCGAAUCCAUCAAACCAAGGCUCUGAUACCAACUUGAAAAGUCCCAAAAAUUAAGACUAAAAAUUUCGUUUUUAAAUUAAUAAAAUAUUAUCCAAAACAUCAUCAUAAAUAAAUCAUUAUGGAACAAGUGUAUCAACAACAUCACAAAACAUUAGAGUAACAUAAAAUGCGGAACGAGGUGGUGUGUACACUUCAAUCAUCCCGGACUCUUCCCCUUUGAACCAGAAGUACCUGAAAACAAAAUUGAAAACCGUAAGCACAAAGCUUAGUGAGUUCACCAGAAUACCACAUACCAUACAUAUCAAACACAUAAAUGGCCCCGAUCGUCAUCGGGCCCCGCUUGGUGUACAUAUCUAUCAACCAUCAAGCCCCGGGCAUCUCACCCUGCCCGACAUCGAGCCAUGCUUGGUAUAAAGAUAUGCUAGUCAUCGGGCCUCGCCCUAAGAGAUGUUGAAACGUCCAAAAAAUUAAGACUAAAAUAUUCGUUUUUAAAUUAAUGAAACUAUUAUCCAAAACUUCAUCAUAAAGAAAUCAUGGUGGAACAAAUGUAUCAAAAACAUCACAAAACAUCAAAGUAACAUAAAAUGCAGAACGAGGUGGUUGGUGCACUACAAUCAUCUCAGGAUCUUCCCCUUUGAACUAGAAGCACCUGAAAACAAAACUGAAUACCGUAAGCACAAAGCUUAGUGAGUUCCCCAGAAUACCACAUAUCAUACAUACCAAACAUAUAAUGGGCUCCGCUCGUCAUCGGGCCUUGCCCGACAUCGACCCUCACUCGGUAUACAAAUAUUUCAAUCAUUGGGGCCUGCUCGGUAUACAAAUCUAUCAGUCAUCGGGCCCAACCCGGUACACAUAUAAAAUAUAAGAAUAUAAACACAUAACACAUGCAAUAAUCAAAAAGAUAAAUAGCAUACAAAAUGGUCAUUGGGUCCCGCCCAGCAUCGGGCUCCGCCUAGUAAACAUGCAAACACAUAACAUAUGCAAGAGUCACACAGACAUCUAGCAUCCUAAACAUAACAAACCAUGGGCUGGAAUUGGUGCCUUCGACCGGCUGACAUAGUGAGGAAACUCACCUCUAGCUGCUGAAACACUCAAAUAAAUCUUUGUUUGCUGGUCUGGAAAAUCCUUGCGCUAUCAUAUAACAUGUAUGUGUAUUUUGGGAAAACUUACUUGAGCUCGGUCGAUUGCAUGCACCACACCCUUGUCUUUUGUUAGAAACCUUUAUUAUAAAACAUUUAUUUUUGAAAAAUUCUACCAAACCCUCAAUUUGAGUUCAGAGACACUCGAGAGUAUGUCCGAGCCCCUCAAACCAAGGCUCUUAUACUAACUUCAAAUGUCCCAAAAAUUAAGACAAAAAAUUUCGUUUUUAAAUUUAUAAAAUAUUAUCCAAAAAAUCAUCAUAAAGAAAUAAUUGUGGAACAAGUGUAUCAACAACAUCACAAAACAUUAAAGUAACAAAAAAUGCGGAACGAGGUGGUGUGUGCACUUCAGUCAUCCCGAUCUCUUCCCCUUCGAACCAUAAAUACCUGAAAACAAAGCUGAAAAUCGUAAGCACAAUGCUUAGUGGGUUCCCCAGAAUACCACAUACCAUACAUAUCAAACAUAUAAAUGGCCCCGCUCGUCAUCAGGCCCUGCUCGAUAUACAGAUCUAUCAGCCAUUGGGCCUCGGGCAUCUCGCCCUACCUGAUAUCGAGCCCCGCUCGGUAUACAGAUAUGGCAAUCAUCGGGCCCCGCCCGAUAUACAUAUAAAAAUAUAAGCAUAUAAACACAUAACACAUGCAAUAAUCAUAAAGAUAAAUAACAUGCAUGAUGGUUAUCGGGCCCCACCCGACAUCGGGCUCUGAUCGCUUAACAGGCAAACACAUAACAAAUGCAAGAGUCAUGCAAACAUCUAGCAUCCUAAACAUAACAAACCACGGGCCGACAUUAGAGCCAUCGACCCGCUAACACAAUGAGGAAACUCAUAUCUAGUUGUUGAAACACUCAAAUGAAUCUCUGUCUGCUGGUCCGGAAAAUCCCCGCGCUAUCAUCACAAAACAAUAUCCAAUUAAUAGUUGGAUCUUGACCCCUAAUCAAGAAUCUAAACUAAAUGUCUAAUACACAGGGUAAAAGACCAUUUCACCCUUUUUUUCUUACUUGGACCAAAACCAAGGCCCAACCCAUCUAUUCAAAAAGGCCCCAAUCCUAAGUGGCAACCCAAAGCCUAAUAUUGCCCAAUCUUCCAAAUUGGACCCAAAACCCACCACGGGACUAAAUCCAUGAGAGCCCAAUAUAGUAACAAAACCCAAAAAUAGAAUUCUAAUGGCCCAAAAAGGCCCAAAGUCAAUGGUCCAAACUCCAACAGUUGGUCCUUACGUCGUGACCAGCUCAUGCUCACGUCGUGAGCACUAACUCGACCCAGUCCCAACUCAGUGGGUCAAUUCAGCCCUUCAAGACGAUUCCAAUCCUUGUCACAUAGCAACCUCAACCUAAGUCACAUCGUGACCUAAUCCGGACAAAAUAGUUAGGAUAGCUAGUAUUCUCACGACGCGACAGGCUUAAUCAUCACGUUGUGAGAUCUACACUGACCAGCUUUGAGCAUUAAGCUCUUAUUCCUUA